UGAGGAAUUUUGCGCAAUGGGGGGAACCCUGAACGCAGCAACGCCGCGUGAGUGAAGAAGGCCUUCGGGUCGUAAGCUCUGUCGAGUGGGAAGAACAUUUUCAUGGUGAACAUCCAUGGGGGAUUGACGGUACCAUCGAAGGAAGCACCGGCUCACUCCGUGA
This 163-nucleotide ribosomal RNA is filed under the name uncultured bacterium. RNAcentral's name for it is "partial 16S rRNA". It matches the Rfam family "Bacterial small subunit ribosomal RNA", at positions 355 to 508 of the family's 1533-position model. The record is from RNAcentral.